GGAAGAAAAAGUCUCUUGCCUCUUCGGCAGGUCCAGACUUUUCCCCGGACUCCCUCCCAGCCAGCUGUGGCUCACUAGCCCCCUUCAGGCUGUGUUCACGCCGCCAACCCCAGUCCUCUCCCGGCGCUCCGACCGAAGCCUGAGCCUCAGCUCCGAGCCCCGCCCGCCCCGGCAAGUGAGCAGACAAGCCUCUCGGGCUGGUCCAUCCCUGUGGCCAAGGUGUGGAAAACUCUGAUGGCCAGUCCUGGAUCAUGUGACAUAUAUAUGAGCUUGUGAGAUCUAAUUCCCCACCAGGCAUGGAACCUGCUGCCCCUGCAGUGGGAGCGCGGAGUCUUAACCACCACACUGCCAGGCAAGUCCCUGAACUGAAUGUUUUUGAUGGUCAAUGCAAGUAAGGUCCUCACGGCAAGGCCCUGGAGAAACAAACACAGAUGGAAUGGCUCCAGUGAAAAUGGGGCACGGGUUCGAGCCCUGGCCCGGGAAGAUCCCAUAUGCGGUGGAGCAACUAAGCCCGUGUGCCACAACUACUGAGCCUGCACUCUAGAGCCAUCGAGCCACAACUACUGAAGCCCGCGCCUCGAGCCCGUGCCCUGCAACAAGAGAAGCCACUGCAAAGAGAAGCCUGGGUACCGCAGCUAGAGAAAGCCCGCGUGCAGCAACAAAGAACCAA
Lagenorhynchus albirostris (white-beaked dolphin) is the source of this 670-nucleotide long non-coding RNA. RefSeq lists it as uncharacterized. NCBI's taxonomy places the organism in Eukaryota, Metazoa, Chordata, Mammalia, Artiodactyla, Delphinidae. The transcript has 4 exons. The record is from RefSeq and is a predicted model, not a curated record.